UAAAAAAUCCAAAUUAAAAAAAAAAUUAACUAGGGCAUAUGAAAUUUUCUUUGUCCAGAUAACAGGAGCCACCUAGAAUGCCAGAAUACUUCAGCUUCCUAGAGGAAUGAGGAUACCAGGCAUUCCCCACCUGCUCCUUUCAGAUUUGGGAUUUCCUUUUUUGCUUACAAUGCCCCAAUACAAGAUAAGAAGAGUAGGAAUACAAAAAGAGCCACUGUACAGUGCUAAAGGAACAUCGAACUUGAACUGCAAAGUGCCAAAUGAGGACAAAAAGAUUACAUCGAUAAAACUAUUAAUUAUCCUUUUCUGAAAUUUCAUAAUCCAUGGU
RNAcentral lists this long non-coding RNA (328 nucleotides) under Monodelphis domestica (gray short-tailed opossum). RNAcentral's name for it is "lncRNA (ENSMODG00000044800.1)". Lineage: Eukaryota; Metazoa; Chordata; Mammalia; Didelphimorphia; Didelphidae. The record is from RNAcentral.